Molecule: ribosomal RNA, 257 nt
Filed under: uncultured bacterium
Lineage: Bacteria
Description: partial 16S ribosomal RNA
Rfam family: Bacterial small subunit ribosomal RNA
Source: RNAcentral
UACAGAGACCUCAAGCGUUAUCCGGAAUCAUUGGGCGUAAAGCGUACCGAUAGGUGGUCAUGAUAGUUUUGGGUAAAAGCCAGAAGCUCAACUUCUGCGUUUGCUCAAAAUACUUCACGACUAGAGGGGCAAAGAGGUGCUUGGAACGAAUGGUGUAGUAGUGAAAUGCGUUGAUAUCAUUCGGAACACCGAAAGCGAAGGCAGAGCACUGGGUGCCACCUGACACUGCUAGGACGAAAGCGUGGGGAGCGAAUGGG